AAAGGAACUAGUCUGCAGUUAACGAUCGCCCUGUGCAGCAGCCGCGGUAAUUCCAGCUCCAAUAGCGUAUAUUAAAGUUGUUGUGGUUAAAAAGCUCGUAGUUGGAUCUCGGCGGACUGAGGGCGGUUUGCUUGCUAGUAUUACUGCCCUAUAGUCCGUAGUUUUGCCAGAGGUUUCGGGGUGCUCUUAAUCGAGUGUCCCGGGAUGCUGGCAGGUUUACUUUGAAAAAAUUAGAGUGCUCAAAGCAGGCUAUUACGCCUGAAUAUUCGUGCAUGGAAUAAUAGAAUAGGAAGUCGUUUCUAUUUUGUUGGUUUUCGGAAAUCGACUUAAUGAUUAAUAGGGACAGUCGGGGGCAUUUGUAUUCAAACGACAGAGGUGAAAUUCUUGGACCGUUUGAAGACAAACUACUGCGAAAGCAUUUGCCAAGAAUGUUUUCAUUAAUCAAGAACGAAAGUUAAAGGUUCGAAGGCGAUUAGAUACCGCCCUAGUUUUAACCAUAAACGAUGCCAGCUAGCGAUCUGCGGACGUUUUUUUUGUAGACUCCGCAGGAAGCUUCCGGGAAACCAAAGCAUUUGGGUUCCAGGGGAAGUAUGGUUGCAAAGCUGAAACUUAAAGGAAUUGACGGAAGGGCACCACCAGGAGUGGAGCCUGUGGCUUAAUUUGACUCAACACGGGAAAUCUCACCAGGCCCGGACACUGGAAGGAUUGACAGAUUGAUAGCUCUUUCUUGAUUCGGUGGGUGGUGGUGCAUGGCCGUUCUUAGUUGGUGGAGUGAUUUGUCUGGUUAAUUCCGAUAACGAACGAGACUCUGUCCUGCUAAAUAGUGUCUGCUUCUCUUUUGAGCAGACAAUUCUUCUUAGAGGGACUGGCGACUCUUAGUCGCACGAGAUUGAGCAAUAACAGGUCUGUG
Molecule: ribosomal RNA, 910 nt
Filed under: uncultured eukaryote
Lineage: Eukaryota
Description: SSU rRNA
Rfam family: Eukaryotic small subunit ribosomal RNA
Source: RNAcentral